AAUACCUCCUUGUUCGGCCUUCAACUACAGUUAAAAAUCAUCAACUCAACAAGACUCUUCACGCUUGCACGCUUGCGCUUCUCAUUUACGUUGAUUUGCACUUCUCAUUCCUCAAAUCUUUCCCAGCUUUUUAAGCCGAUUUCAGUUUCAAUUUAUUGAGCCAAAAACAAUUGUCACACCAGGCAUCUUGCAAAGCUUCAGUUGAAAGCAACUACUGCAAAUAUGACAAUCAAAUGCUUCAGUUGUUCACAUCAUCUUUUUACCUUGCAGCCUUGGUAGCUU
Cicer arietinum (chickpea) is the source of this 282-nucleotide non-coding RNA. The record is from RefSeq and is a predicted model, not a curated record. Lineage: Eukaryota; Viridiplantae; Streptophyta; Magnoliopsida; Fabales; Fabaceae.